CCCGAGGGCGCGGGGGGAGUCUCGUGCGCGCGCGGCCGGGCCUGGCACGGCCGCUGCCUCCCGACACCCCCGGCAGGGCUGGGCAGCCCUGGAAGUCCCUGGAAAUUCCUGCCGAAUCCCAUGUCGCCGCCGCCCACUUGUCUCCCGUGGGCGGCUAAGGAUGGAAAACACCGUGCUAUCGCGCGGGAGGGCCGAGCCGCGGGGGGCGGAGCGGCGGCAGGGGACGCGCGGCUGAGCCGGAGGCCCGGAUUGAAAAACAUGCGCAAGUAGACAUGGAUAUCCAGUUAGGAAGAUCAUUCUGCCAUCUCCCUUCAGAGCUGAGAAGAAGCUUCAUCAUCCAGGUCUAGCAGAAAAUUCUAUUCAAGCAUGUACAGUUCUCCAAAUCUGCUCUAAGUCCUGUCAUCCAUUGUCAAAACAAAAGUAAGGUGAAUGAAAAGACUCUGUGUGCAAAGGCAUAGAAACAAAUUCUAAUGUAGCUGUUUUAAUUAUGGAUAUUUACUGUUCUGUGGGUUACCUGCCAUUCAUUUUCCCUGCUGACAAACAUCUGAAGACGUGUUUUGAAUGUCACUUGACUUCUUCAACCACAUUUGUCAUACUAGUAUCUAUUUAUAUAGAGAUUCAGUCAGCUUGAGAAAAAAUAAGAAGAUGGUGGCCCUGAGAUCUAAAGAUUCAGAAUCUUCUUUGCUGGAAGUUACUUCUGCCUGAGUUUUUAAACUGAUGCUUUCUCAAGGCCAGGAAAUCAAAUAAAAAAAAAAUCAGGAUGUAAUGUUGUGUCUGCAUGUAGUCCAGAAAGCCCAUGUAAAAAAAUCCUCCAAUAGAGCAGUGAAAGAGAGAUGAACCAAUGUGGAAUAUGUUAUAAUCAAAAAGCCUUGGAAAUAUAAACAGAUAACCAGAUCCAUAAAGCUAAGGUCUACCUCAUCUUCAUGUCACUAUCAGGAUGGCUAACUUUGGGAUUGAUGAGCCAGAUUGGUUUCGGCAGUAUUCAACACCAAAAGCAGCAUGACAACCCCUUUUUCAUUUACUACUGGAGCUUCAUCAUCUGCUCUUCCUGGGGAAAAAAAAUCAUGCUGACAAAGACUUCUUUUGAAAAGCUGGAAGAGGAACAUUUGCUGUGAUAUAUUGAUCCUUUGGAAGCAGCUGAUAGUGGCGAAGCCCGCUCCAUCACCUAGGAGUCUGACAAUCCUGCACAGAAAGGCCAAAUACAGUGUACUUCACUAAGGAUCUCUAUCCCUGCUAAAGGUGGAUUAUUUCAAUGCUCUAAAGGCCUUCAGCACCUACAGAGGUGUGACCGACAGGGAGCAGUCAGUGGUGUUUGUGCUCAGUUGGUGCCAGAAGGCAGCUGAACCCGCAGCAGACUUGGACCUGAAGCCAGACAGUAUGUGGCAGGUCAGUGGAAAGGAAGUCUUCUUGCCUCAUCCUCGCUACAGCACCCUGGGUCCUCCUCUGCCUCCUGGAGAUGCCAUCUUCCCCAGAAACUCCUGGACAUGAUCCAAGGAGAGAAGAAUCACAGCUGAAGGACAGAGCAGACAGAAGGGAAAUGGAAGAUCCAGCAAGGAAACAGCACAGCAAGCAUGGGUGGGUGACUCCUGAGGAGAGCACCAUCAAAAUCACAGCCAAAACAGGAGAGAAGGAAAAAAAACACCCUUCCCUAAGGUUUGAGAGAUGGCAGUGCAGCCACUUGGGAAGUCACGGAGUUGUUAGUUGGAAAGCAAGACUGGAUGUGAAGGCUGGGUCUGCUAUGAUACUUGGGACUGGAAGACCCUCAAGUUCUCUUCUGUCUUUCCUUUUCAUUUUGAGUUUUCUCAGAUUUAAAAGUAUGCUCUUCUAGUAUCUGUUUAGAAAUAAACUGGUUUCUAAUCAUAUAUGUAAAAAAACCAACCUUUUAUUAUUUCUGGGAGUGAUUACUUCCAAAAUGAGAUUGAUACGCAGCUACCUUAUAUUGUGGCUUCUUCAAGAUGAGUAUCUAAAGAGUUCCAGAGUACAUCUCCAGUCCUUCUUGGUAGCAGUCACUGCAGCAUUUCACUGUGCUCCAGAAGGAGGGCAUGGGUUCAGGUUCUGCGGCUUCGUCCUGUUGCUCCUUUUGCUGAAGUCAGUUGACUGUAGAAACUGAUCAGGCAACAACUUGACCUGUAGCUGACUUGCUUACGCCUUCCUCCUAGCUGAGCAUUGUGUAUUCACAGCUGGAUUUCAAAAUAUAGCUAUCCAGGGAGUCUCAUGUCUGGAUAUGCUCAGAACAAAAUAAGAAAUGUCAGAGCCACAUUUUACAUGGUGCUGUGGUCAGGUUAAUAAAUCUUGCAAGCUUUCCAAAUAGUAUGUUGUUGUGCUUGAGCAGGACUUGCCACCUCAAGCACAAUGUCAUCUUAGAUAUUGUUAUGUAGCUUCUGCAUCUUCAAAGAUUUGCAUCCAGUCAGCUGAAAAAACACAGUGACCAGGCUCAUUUUCUCUGUAGAAUAGCAAGUAAUGUACCCUAAAAAAAAAUUGUAUUUGUGCCAAAAAUAUGUACACAGAAAUGGUAGCUAUGUUUCCAAGCUUUAGGUUUAUUUUUUAGCAAACUAACAAAAGUGGCUUUGUUUUAAAAUCAACAACCAUGUCUAUAAAAAGGUUUGAUACACCAGAAACACAUUAAAAUAGCCUUAUAUGAAUGCACAGUAUGCCUCCAGUGAUAAUACUAACACUGUGCCUUGUGCACAUAAUCUUAUUUGCAUGAAGGACUAGUAGAGUUCUGCUUUUUGUGAUCAUAUACAUGGUGGAAAAUUGACCAGAUUAAUGUUCUCAUGACAAACUGAGAUUUCAGGUACACCAAUUGGUGUUUUAAGGACCAGUGUAAAUAAAUCCUGUGUUUUUAGCUGGCAGUGAAAUGGCUCUGAACCUGUAAAACAGAAAUGAAACAUAGGCUGUAUUUGUAGGAUGUUGAGGAUGGAAAUAAGAGAAAGGCAAUCAGUAAUUUUGAAGCAUUGCUAGAAUGCUUCCUGUACUCAAACUCAACCACAAACCCCAGGAAAAACGUAUGUUUAAGAUUUCUUAAGAAAUGCAAUGUGCCCUGUUUCCUAGGGGAGGGAAUCUGGCUUAGCAGCGUUGUGCAACGCAGCUAGACUGCUGCCAGCUACUGAGGAGCUCUCUGAACCACCCAGCAGCUAACAAAGAGGCUGCAAUGAAGGGGUAGGCCGGCUGUGCUUCCUGCUGUAAGGAAGCUACCUUUUGUUACUUGAAAGCACUUUUCACAUUUUUCAUGUGUUUGGGCAGAAAUCUACCCAGAAUUUUCUUCCCCAGGAGAAAUUUCCUUUUUUUUGAAGUUGGAAGACUCUGUAAUUCAGGUGGAGAAACAGAAACUAGCUGUGAGGAGUCCAGAGAUUUCAGUUAAACCUCAUUCACAUGGAAAUUAUUUGGAAUUAAUUUGCCAGUUCUCAGACCUAUCCAAACUGAAGAGACUUUAAGGUGCUCACCCCAGGCCCAGAGCACAGUUUAGCUGAUAGUGCCAGUGAUGAUUUUUGAGCAACCACUCUUGCUCAAAAUAUGCAUAUGCAUGUUUUCAGGAUCUGAGAGGCAGGUUGCAGUCAAAGAACAGAGAAAGAACAAGAAUGUUCUCCCAUACUGAAAGGAAAACCUGCACUGACCUCCAGAAUGAUGAAAUAGUGAAGAACUUCCUGAGAUACUGACAGGAACAAACAGAAGCUUCUGCCUCUUCAGUCUACUGUAUCUGAGACGUGAAGAUAGGUUGGUUUUGUCAUUACCUAGUAUUGGUGUUGUCAUGCAACAUGCAUGUACUCUGGAGUUUCUAGUAUCAUUUUGAGAUGAUAAUGACCUUGAGAAAAGUGAAUUACAGAUUUGAUAUAGUAAGUUUUCUAGAUGUUCUAGUGUAGCGCUAAUUUUUAGUGGAGAAGAAGGAAGCUUUCAAUUCUUUCUAAAUUUAAGAAGACAAUAGAUCUGAAAGAAAGACUGUUAUGAUUCUGUGGUGUAGGUUUUGAACUCUACAGUCACAUAGUUUGCUAUUUUUCAUUUACAUUCAAGUCAUUUGGAUUCGAUUUUGAGGACAGAAAACAGAUCAGAAAUCCACAGUAUGGUUUCAAAAGCUUCUUUGAAGUGAAAUUUGACUCAUGUGGUUAUUGCUACUGGUUUUGUUGCUCGAACUGUCUGAAAGAGUUUCCUAAGUAGAUUUAUUGAAAAUAAUUUCUUAAAACCCAGUCCUCCCUACGACACCUACAAAAACAAAACAGAUGAAAUAAGUAUUAAGAGAGAAAAAUAAUACUAAAGAGUCUAAUUAUACUUAAUAAGAUAAAAAAUUAUGGAAACUGUCCCAAUGAUGUCUUUUCCAGUUAUUUAGAAAGAAGAUAACAUUGAAACACAAGUAAUUCCUAUUACUACUUCAGUAUUUAGGGCUAGUGUUAAGAGGGGGAAAAUGGAGAUUUAAAGAAAUUGGAGAAAAAAAAAUAUAUUUUAUUUCUGAAAAUUAACCAAAGCUACUCUCUGUGGUGUAUAUUGUAGAACAACAGCAUGCUGUAGUGAACAAUAGCAUGUUGCAGUGAAAGAGAACAACAUAACAUAAUUGCUUGUAUGUCACAUUGUUACUGGUCCCCUGUCUGAAAUCUCAUGGCCCAGUGACACCUCGGCCCACGAAGGGCCAGUAAAAUUCGCUGCAAAAUAAAUGACACUAAUAAAAUUCCAUUUGGUGGGACCGUUUAAUUUUGACUCUGCUACAUAAAAGCAAAACACAUAUGUAUAUAUUUUAACUUGAGUAUUCAACUUCUUCCUCUCUUCCUUCACAUGGAAAAACAUAUUACCCCACUGUCCAGUGAAUCAAUCU
Long non-coding RNA from Neopelma chrysocephalum (saffron-crested tyrant-manakin), 4801 nucleotides. RefSeq lists it as uncharacterized. The transcript is spliced from 8 exons. The record is from RefSeq and is a predicted model, not a curated record. Lineage: Eukaryota; Metazoa; Chordata; Aves; Passeriformes; Pipridae.